UACGAAGGGGGCUAGCGUUGUUCGGAAUUACUGGGCGUAAAGCGUGCGCCGGCGGCUUCUCAAGUCAGGGGUGAAAGCCCAGAGCUCAACUCUGGAAUUGCCUUUGAGACUGAGUGGCUUGAGUACGAGAGAGGUGAGUGGAAUUCCCAGUGUAGAGGUGAAAUUCGUAGAUAUUGGGAAGAACACCGGUGGCGAAGGCGGCUCACUGGCUCGUAACUGACGCUCAUGCACGACAGCGUGGGGAUCAAACAGG
Molecule: ribosomal RNA, 253 nt
Filed under: uncultured bacterium
Lineage: Bacteria
Description: partial 16S ribosomal RNA
Rfam family: Bacterial small subunit ribosomal RNA
Source: RNAcentral